UUGGGCGUAAGGGCUCGCAGGCGGUUUCUUAAGUCUGAUGUGAAAGCCCCCCGCUUAACCGGGGAGGGUCAUUGGAAACUGGGGAACUUGAGUCCUUUAGAGGAGAGUGGAAUUCCACGUGUAGCGGUGAAAUGCGUAGAGAUGUGGAGGAACACCAGUGGCGAAGGCGCCCCUCUGGUCUGUAACUGACGCUGAGGAGCGAAAGCGUGGGGAGCGAACAGGAUUAGAUACCGUGGUAGUCCGCGCC
RNAcentral lists this ribosomal RNA (247 nucleotides) under Bacillus subtilis. Its description in RNAcentral is "partial 16S ribosomal RNA". It matches the Rfam family "Bacterial small subunit ribosomal RNA", at positions 554 to 801 of the family's 1533-position model. The record is from RNAcentral. Lineage: Bacteria; Bacillati; Bacillota; Bacilli; Caryophanales; Bacillaceae.